CCUACGGGUGGCAGCAGUGAGGAAUAUUGGUCAAUGGGCGGGAGCCUGAACCAGCCAAGCCGCGUGAGGGAAGAAGGUACAGCGUAUCGUAAACCUCUUUUGUCAGGGAACAAAGGCGGGGACUAGUCCCAGGAUGAGGGUACCUGAAGAAACAGCAUCGGCUAACUCCGUGCCAGCAGCCGCGGUAAUACGGAGGAUGCGAGCGUUAUCCGGAUUUAUUGGGUUUAAAGGGUGCGCAGGGGGCCUGUUAAGUCAGCGGGAAAAGCCCGGGGCCCAACCCCGGCGAGCCGUUGAAACUGGCGGGCUGGAGUUGGAGAGAAGUACGCGGAAUGCGCGGUGUAGCGGUGAAAUGCUUAGAUAUCGCGCAGAACCCCGAUUGCGAAGGCAGCGUACCGGCUCCACACUGACGCUGAGGCACGAAAGCGUGGGUAUCGAACAGGAUUAGAUACCCUAGUAGUC
This 459-nucleotide ribosomal RNA is filed under the name uncultured bacterium. RNAcentral describes it as "partial 16S ribosomal RNA". It matches the Rfam family "Bacterial small subunit ribosomal RNA", at positions 338 to 795 of the family's 1533-position model. The record is from RNAcentral.